GGGUCGGUAGCUCAGUCGGUAGAGCAGCGGACUUUUAAUCCGUUGGUCGAGAGUUCGAAUCUCUCCCGACCCACCA
Molecule: transfer RNA, 76 nt
Filed under: Oryzomicrobium terrae
Lineage: Bacteria; Pseudomonadati; Pseudomonadota; Betaproteobacteria; Rhodocyclales; Rhodocyclaceae
Also listed under: 2 other names
Description: tRNA-Lys
Rfam family: tRNA
About the family: Transfer RNA (tRNA) molecules are approximately 80 nucleotides in length.
Source: RNAcentral